GACGAACGCUGGCGGCGCGCUUAACACAUGCAAGUCGAGCGAUGAAACUCUAACAGUACCCUUCGGGGCGAAGAUAAAGUGGAUUAGCAGCGGACGGGUGAGUAACCUGUGAGUAAGCUGAAUUAGACAUUGGGAUAGCCUCGGGCAACCGGGAUUAAUACCAAAUAAAAUCGUAAUGGCACAUUUCAUAAGGAACAAAACUACGGCGGUCUGGUAUGGACUCGCGGCGUAUCAGAUAGUUGGUAGGGUAGAGGCUUACCAAGGCGUCGAUGGGUAGCCGGCCUGGCAGGGUGACCGGACACAUUGGAACUGAGAUGCGGCCCAGACUAAUACGGUAGGCAGCGGAGGAGAAGAUAGCACAAUGGGCGGAAGCCUGAUGCAGCAACGCCGCGUGCGGGAUGACGGCCAUCGGGUUGUGAACUGAUUUCGCCUGUGACGAAGCGUGAGUGACGGUAAUGGGUAAAGAAGCCCCGGCUAACUACGUG
RNAcentral lists this ribosomal RNA (485 nucleotides) under uncultured bacterium. Its description in RNAcentral is "partial 16S ribosomal RNA". It matches the Rfam family "Bacterial small subunit ribosomal RNA", at positions 28 to 507 of the family's 1533-position model. The record is from RNAcentral.